Molecule: ribosomal RNA, 459 nt
Filed under: uncultured bacterium
Lineage: Bacteria
Description: partial 16S ribosomal RNA
Rfam family: Bacterial small subunit ribosomal RNA
Source: RNAcentral
CCUACGGGAGGCAGCAGUGAGGAAUAUUGGUCAAUGGUCGGGAGACUGAACCAGCCAAGCCGCGUGAGGGAGGAAGGUACAGAGUAUCGUAAACCUCUUUUGUCAGGGAACAAAGGCGGGGACGUUUCCCCGGAUGAGUGUACCUGAAGAAAAAGCAUCGGCUAACUCCGUGCCAGCAGCCGCGGUAAUACGGAGGAUGCGAGCGUUGUCCGGAUGUAUUGGGUUUAAAGGGUGCGUAGGCGGGCUUUUAAGUCAGCGGUAAAAAUUAGGGGCUCAACCCCGUCCGGCCGUUGAAACUGGGGGCCUUGAGUGGGCGAGAGGAAGGCGGAAGGCGUGGUGUAGCCGUGAAAUGCAUAGAGAUCACGCAGAACCCCGAUUGCGAAGGCAGCCUUCCGGCGCCCUACUGACGCUGAGGCACGAAAGUGCGGGGAUCGAACAGGAUUAGAUACCCCUGUAGUC